Molecule: ribosomal RNA, 468 nt
Filed under: uncultured bacterium
Lineage: Bacteria
Description: partial 16S ribosomal RNA
Rfam family: Bacterial small subunit ribosomal RNA
Source: RNAcentral
AACGAACGCUGGCGGCAUGCUUAACACAUGCAAGUCGAACGGAACGUCCCUGCUUUUGUGCGGUCCUCGAGUUGCGACCGGGGGAGUAACCCGUGAGUUACCUGCCACUGCCUGUAGGAUAACUUCAUACAGGUUAAGCUCAUACCGGCUAAGAUCUACUGCUGCAUGGUGGGCGUUGGAUAGUUUCGGCGGUUGGGGGUGUACUCGCGGCUUAUCAGGUUGUUGGGGGGGUAGUGGCAUACCAAGGCAUUGACGGGUAGCCGGCCUGAGAGGGUGAGAGGGCACAUCGGGACUGAGAUACGGCCCAGACUCCUACGGGAGGCAGCAGGGGGGAAUAGUGAACAAUGGGCGGAAGCCUGAUGCAGCAACGCCGCGGGCGGGAUGAAGGCCUUCGGGUUGUAAACCGCUUUCGCCUGUGACGAAGCGUGAGUGACGGUAAUGGGUAAAGAAGCACCGGCUAACUACGUG